UUCCGGUUGAUCCUGCCGGAGGCCACUGCUAUUGGGAUCCGACUAAGCCAUGCGAGUCGAGAGGGUUCGGCCCUCGGCAGACUGCUCAGUAACACGUGGAUAAUCUACCCUUAGGUGGAGGAUACUCUCGGGAAACUGAGAAUAAUACUCCAUAGGUCUAGGAUGCUGGAAUGCACCUAGGUUGAAAGUUCCGACGCCUAAGGACGAGUCUGCGGACUAUCAGGUAGUAGUCAGGGUAAAGACCUGACUAGCCUACGACGGAUACGGGUUGUGAGAGCAAUAGCCCGGAGACGAUAUCUGAGACACGAUAUCGGGCCCUACGGGGCGCAGCAGGCGCGAAAUCUUCACAAUGUGCGAAAGCACGAUGAGGGGAUCCCAAGUGUUGGUUCGUAAGAGUCAUCUGUUUCUUUGUCUAAAAAACAGAGAGAGUAAGAGCUGGGUAAGACGGGUGCCAGCCGCCGCGGUAAUACCUGCAGCUCAAGUGGUGGCCGCUAUUAUUGGGCCUAAAACGUCCGUAGCCGGUUUAGUAAAUGCCUGGGUAAAUUGUGUAGCUCAACUAUACGAAUACCGGGUAGACUGCUAAACUUGAAACCGGGAGAGGCUAGAGGUACUCCUAGGGUAGAGGUGAAAUUCUGUAAUCCUAGGGGGACCACCAGUGGCGAAGGCGUCUAGCUAGAACGGGUUUGACGGUGAGGGACGAAGCCCUGGGGCGCAAACCGGAUUAGAUACCCGGGUAGUCCAGGGUGUAAACGCUGCUCGCUUGAUGUUAGUCGGGCUCCGAGCCCAACUAGUGUCGGAGAGAAGUUGUUAAGCGAGCUGCUGGGAAGUACGGUCGCAAGGCUGAAACUUAAGGAAUUGGCGGGGGAGCACAGCAACGGGUGGAGCGUGCGUUUAAUGGAUCACGCGGAAAUC
This 912-nucleotide ribosomal RNA is filed under the name uncultured archaeon. RNAcentral's name for it is "bacterial SSU rRNA". It matches the Rfam family "Archaeal small subunit ribosomal RNA", at positions 1 to 926 of the family's 1478-position model. The record is from RNAcentral.